GAGCACUGGGCGGAACACUGCGGCGGCGGCGGCGGCGGGAGCGGCGGCUGCGGCGGCGGCAGCGCAGCAAAGGAGGCGGAGGAGGCGGAGGCGUCGUCCAGCGCGGUCACAUGCAUUCGCAGUCGAGCCUCUGAAGGAAACGGAUGCGUCGAGACAGAACCCACCAUGAGAGACACGGGGCAGUGCGAACCCGGAAUGAAGUUAUGACACAGCCAGAGGAACUUGGGACAGCACGUGAGACGCCAGGACGCCCGACACCCCAAUCACUGGCACCCCCGCUACCGGCCUGUGCGAAUCCUAGUCUCACACAGCGGUAAACUUAGACCUUUGGAUAUGGAAAGAAACCGGAAGGCAUGACCGAGGCAGAAAGACAUUUGCAUACCGAGGAAGUGUGAGACACAAAUAUAGGGACCAAAAUGAGCGACUAAGUAGACCCAAUAACCAGAGGUUUGUUCAGAUAUUUGUCAAGAGUCGACCAUAUUUUUAGGGAUACAUCCUUUAGAAGUUACCGCCUAGAGGAGCUGGGGUUGUAGCUCAGUGGCAAAGGCUUGCCUAGCAUGUGUGAGGCACUGGGUUCGAACCUUAGCAUCUCAUAAAAAUAAAGUCAUGCUGUCCAUCUAAAACUACAAAAAAAAUUAUUACCCUCUAGAGAGGGGAGACACAUAAAUAAAAUCCUCAAGCUGUUAAGUAUGAAGAUAUAUAAAACAAGAGUAAGGAGUUAGUGGGUAGUGAGUUGAGACAUUUUAGAAAGACAUCACUGACUGAGACCCAGAUUAGAACAGAAGAGCAGAAACUUAGACAUAAUGAAAUAUAAACACAAAAGUCGCUAAAACUGAAACAUCAAGAUUUAGAAAAAAACUGGGCGUGGAGCCUCUGCACCAUUUCUGCUAUCUCUGGAGGGUAAAGUAGGAGCGGCAGACCCCUAAUCCUGUUUGGCCAACUGGGAGGUCUUCAUGGCCAUCAACUGUGAACUUUCAGAUAUUAACAAAGAUAAACUAGUCAGUUGCAAAGGAGAAUAAACAAGUCCUUGAAAAACCCUGUGUGAAGGGCUGGGAGUGUAUCUCAAUGGGAGAGUGCAUGUUCAGCAUGUGAGAGGUCCUGGGUUCAGUGUCCAACACCAAAAAAAAC
RNAcentral lists this long non-coding RNA (1128 nucleotides) under Marmota monax (woodchuck). Lineage: Eukaryota; Metazoa; Chordata; Mammalia; Rodentia; Sciuridae. The record is from RNAcentral.